CCCUUCAAAUAGAACAUUAAAGAUCACAUACUUGUUUACUUCCUCAAACUCUUUGCUUUUUGUUCUCUUCCUAGGAACAAAUUUAAUACAAAUAAUCAGUAAAUCGAGCAAGCUCAUUUUGUUAGAGGUGUAAUGUAUGCCAGGCCUGUAUCCUUCGUAUCCAGGCUGAGGUAGAGUAACCUGCCACACCAAUUUUAGGUGCAUAAGGUUGAUGUAUAGUGGCUUCUCACUGGAGGCAAAGACUCAGUUUCUUCCAGACGUUAAAAGUACGACUACGAUCAAGAACAUCUGAACAAAAACCUCGCAUCAAACUCGAGAGAUCAGCUGUGAAAAAGAGAUAAU
This is a long non-coding RNA of Nematostella vectensis (starlet sea anemone), 342 nucleotides long. RefSeq lists it as uncharacterized. The record is from RefSeq and is a predicted model, not a curated record. NCBI's taxonomy places the organism in Eukaryota, Metazoa, Cnidaria, Anthozoa, Actiniaria, Edwardsiidae. The transcript has 2 exons.